RNAcentral lists this small RNA (114 nucleotides) under Salmonella enterica subsp. enterica serovar Heidelberg. Its description in RNAcentral is "partial RtT sRNA". It matches the Rfam family "RtT RNA", at positions 1 to 113 of the family's 130-position model. Rfam says of the family: This family represents a bacterial cis-regulatory element known as RtT RNA. The exact function of RtT is unknown although it is thought that it may be involved in changing the cellular response in relation to amino acid starvation. RNAcentral also lists the same sequence under 4 other names. The record is from RNAcentral. Lineage: Bacteria; Pseudomonadati; Pseudomonadota; Gammaproteobacteria; Enterobacterales; Enterobacteriaceae.
AUAUCUCUCUGUACGGGAAGGAUGAGAAGCUUCUACCAGGGUUCGAUUCGAGCGCAGCGAGAAAGCGUUGCCGCAGGCAACGACCCGAAGGGCGAAGCGCGCAGCGCUGAGUCA